UACGUAGGGCGCAAGCGUUGUCCGGAAUUAUUGGGCGUAAAGAGCUCGUAGGCGGUCUGUCGCGUCUGCUGUGAAAACUCAGGGCUUAACCCUGAGCUUGCAGUGGGUACGGGCAGACUAGAGUGAUGUAGGGGAGACUGGAAUUCCUGGUGUAGCGGUGAAAUGCGCAGAUAUCAGGAGGAACACCAAUGGCGAAGGCAGCUCGCUGGGACGGUACUGACGCUGAGGCGCGAAAGCGUGGGGAGCAAACAGG
RNAcentral lists this ribosomal RNA (253 nucleotides) under uncultured bacterium. Its description in RNAcentral is "partial 16S ribosomal RNA". It matches the Rfam family "Bacterial small subunit ribosomal RNA", at positions 524 to 776 of the family's 1533-position model. The record is from RNAcentral.